AUGUGAUAUCUUAAUCUGAAAUAGCUGGAAUUACCGGCAGAUUGUUUAGUGGUGACCAUCGGUUUUCUGAAC
Trematomus bernacchii (emerald rockcod) is the source of this 72-nucleotide small nucleolar RNA. Lineage: Eukaryota; Metazoa; Chordata; Actinopteri; Perciformes; Nototheniidae. The record is from RefSeq and is a predicted model, not a curated record.